Molecule: long non-coding RNA, 1214 nt
Organism: Cyprinus carpio carpio
Lineage: Eukaryota; Metazoa; Chordata; Actinopteri; Cypriniformes; Cyprinidae
Source: Ensembl
CAGGACAGGGUUUGAGUCUAAUGGUCUUCUGUGCGUGACUGACGUUGUUCUUCACGCUGCAGCUGAUGUUUCCAUCAGUUCCCUCAUCCAGAUCAAUGCUGCUGUUUCCAAACAUUGGUCCUUCUUCUAGUACUUUUCCAUUCAGAGUCCAGCUGUAGAUGAGCUGAUCUCCCUCAGAGGAGCAGAACACUGUAGUCUGAUUGGAGGAGCAGAUGAUUGACACUUCCACUGAGCCAAUAGGAGCUAGAGGGAGGGACACAUGACAGUCACAUGACUCUUUCUCAACAUGUUAUCAGUGUCAAUCUCAAAGCAUUUCUAAAAUAAAAUAUAUUGCUGAGAGCUUCUACACCUUCAACAAUCACUUGAAGAUCACUUUUCAUUAACAUAUCUAUCUCAACGACAAAUGAUGUGUAUCUUCCUGAAUCUGCUCUGGUCACAUUGUUUAUGGUCAGAGUCAUAUUAUCAAAGAAGAACUCGGAUCUGUUUCUGAUGGAUUCAUGUGUAUUUAUGAUCAGAGGCACAUUUUUAAAUAACUCAGAUAUGUCUCUGAUGGAUUCAUAAUUAUACUUUUUAUUUUUCUCUAUGCUAAAAACUUUCAGUGUACUGCCAUCAUUUAACGUCUUAUACAAAUCAAGUUCAGUAUAUGAAGGGUUCAGCAUCAUCUGCAGACUGAGUUUGUGUCCCAGAGCUGCGUAACAUUGUUUGAUCGAAUAUGGUUCAUCAAAUGUGCAGAGCUGAUCCAGACCUAAAGAACAAAACACAAACAAGAUGAAAUGUACCAACAUCGACAGACAGAGUCAGAGUGUUACUGCUGGUAGAAAUAUCAUCUCUCUCAUCAUGAAUUUCAACAGACACAAAUUACAUAAACAUUCAUAAUAAGUUCUACGGAAGACACAUAUCAGACUCUUGAUCUCAUAUCAGGUUUAUCAAAUGAUAAAAAAAAUUAAGUUUUUCUACAUGUCCUGAAACUUUUUGAAAACAACUGAAGAAAUAGUAGAAGGCAUGUACAACACACACAAAAGCAUAAUUUAAUUCAUAUAACAUUAAAUACAUGUACAGCAGCCAGAACAUCAGAGGUUGACAGAUCCAAUGUUGAUACCGGACCUGAGAUAUUUCAAGACGGCGAACCCAGCGUUGCGGACAACGCUGCUGACUGGACCGAUACGCAAAUAAAUGCCUGGCAAAGGGCUGGUUGGUCGAGUGGCCGCAGUGAA